AGAGUUUGAUCCUGGCUCAGGAUGAACGCUGGCGGCGUGCUUAACACAUGCAAGUCGAACGGGAAAUAUUUCAUUGAGACUUCGGUGGAUUUGAUCUAUUUCUAGUGGCGGACGGGUGAGUAACGCGUGGGUAACCUGCCUUAUACAGGGGGAUAACAGUCAGAAAUGGCUGCUAAUACCGCAUAAGCGCACAGAGCUGCAUAGCUCAGUGUGAAAAACUCCGGUGGUAUAAGAUGGACCCGCGUUGGAUUAGCUUGUUGGCAGGGUAACGGCCUACCAAGGCGACGAUCCAUAGCCGGCCUGAGAGGGUGAACGGCCACAUUGGGAUUGAGACACGGCCCAGACUCCUACGGGAGGCAGCAGUGGGGAAUAUUGCACAAUGGGGGAAACCCUGAUGCAGCGACGCCGCGUGAAGGAAGAAGUAUCUCGGUAUGUAAACUUCUAUCAGCAGGGAAGAUAGUGACGGUACCUGACUAAGAAGCCCCGGCUAACUACGUGCCAGCAGCCGCGGUAAUACGUAGGGGGCAAGCGUUAUCCGGAUUUACUGGGUGUAAAGGGAGCGUAGACGGUGUGGCAAGUCUGAUGUGAAAGGCAUGGGCUCAACCUGUGGACUGCAUUGGAAACUGUCAUACUUGAGUGCCGGAGGGGUAAGCGGAAUUCCUAGUGUAGCGGUGAAAUGCGUAGAUAUUAGGAGGAACACCAGUGGCGAAGGCGGCUUACUGGACGGUAACUGACGUUGAGGCUCGAAAGCGUGGGGAGCAAACAGGAUUAGAUACCCUGGUAGUCCACGCCGUAAACGAU
RNAcentral lists this ribosomal RNA (801 nucleotides) under uncultured bacterium. RNAcentral describes it as "bacterial SSU rRNA". It matches the Rfam family "Bacterial small subunit ribosomal RNA", at positions 8 to 810 of the family's 1533-position model. The record is from RNAcentral.